GGCAGUUCUCUGGUCACGCAACCCGGAAUCGGGCUCCCUCCUCUCUGGUUCUGGAGUGCAUCACCGGAGAACUGCC
Non-coding RNA from Myotis brandtii (Brandt's bat), 76 nucleotides. NCBI's taxonomy places the organism in Eukaryota, Metazoa, Chordata, Mammalia, Chiroptera, Vespertilionidae. The record is from Rfam.